This 377-nucleotide ribosomal RNA is filed under the name uncultured Glomus. RNAcentral's name for it is "SSU rRNA". It matches the Rfam family "Eukaryotic small subunit ribosomal RNA", at positions 569 to 952 of the family's 1831-position model. The record is from RNAcentral. Lineage: Eukaryota; Fungi; Glomeromycota; Glomeromycetes; Glomerales; Glomeraceae.
AGCAGCCGCGGUAAUUCCAGCUCCAAUAGCGUAUAUUAAAGUUGUUGCAGUUAAAAAGCUCGUAGUUGAAUUUCGGGAUCAAUAUGUUGGUCGUGCCUUGGUACGUACUAAUUUAUUGGUUUCUUCCUUCUGACGAACCAUGAUGUCAUUAAUUUGGUGUCUUGAGGAAUCAGGACUGUUACUUUGAAAAAAUUGAGUGUUUAAAGCAGGCUCACGCUUGAAUACAUUAGCAUGGAAUAAUGAAAUAGGACGUUUGAUUCUAUUUUGUUGGUUUCUAGGAUCGACGUAAUGAUUAAUAGGGAUAGUUGGGGGCAUUAGUAUUCAAUUGUCAGAGGUGAAAUUCUUGGAUUUAUUGAAGACUUAACUACUGCGAAAGC